This 634-nucleotide ribosomal RNA is filed under the name Bacillus amyloliquefaciens. RNAcentral's name for it is "bacterial SSU rRNA". It matches the Rfam family "Bacterial small subunit ribosomal RNA", at positions 44 to 651 of the family's 1533-position model. Lineage: Bacteria; Bacillati; Bacillota; Bacilli; Caryophanales; Bacillaceae. The record is from RNAcentral.
GUGCUAUCAUGCAGUCUAGCGGACAGAUGGGAGCUUGCUCCCUGAUGUUAGCGGCGGACGGGUGAGUAACACGUGGGUAACCUGCCUGUAAGACUGGGAUAACUCCGGGAAACCGGGGCUAAUACCGGAUGGUUGUUUGAACCGCAUGGUUCAGACAUAAAAGGUGGCUUCGGCUACCACUUACAGAUGGACCCGCGGCGCAUUAGCUAGUUGGUGAGGUAACGGCUCACCAAGGCGACGAUGCGUAGCCGACCUGAGAGGGUGAUCGGCCACACUGGGACUGAGACACGGCCCAGACUCCUACGGGAGGCAGCAGUAGGGAAUCUUCCGCAAUGGACGAAAGUCUGACGGAGCAACGCCGCGUGAGUGAUGAAGGUUUUCGGAUCGUAAAGCUCUGUUGUUAGGGAAGAACAAGUGCCGUUCAAAUAGGGCGGCACCUUGACGGUACCUAACCAGAAAAGCCCACGGCUAACUACGUGCCCAGCAGCCCGCGGUAAAUACGUAGGUGGCAAGCGUUGUCCGGAAUUAUUGGGCGUAAAGGGCUUCGCAGGCGGUUUCUUAAGUCUUGAUGUGAAAAGCCCCGGCUCAACCCGGGGGAAGGGUCCAUUUGGAAACUGGGGGAACUUUGAAUUGC